AAAUGGGCCUGAUCCUUAUAAGCCCAGAUAUCGAUAAACAGAUCUUCUUCGUGGUAAGUUUUAUGAAAAUC
Molecule: transfer RNA, 71 nt
Filed under: Acinetobacter baumannii BJAB07104
Lineage: Bacteria; Pseudomonadati; Pseudomonadota; Gammaproteobacteria; Moraxellales; Moraxellaceae
Description: tRNA-Cys
Source: RNAcentral